RNAcentral lists this long non-coding RNA (1400 nucleotides) under Rhinopithecus bieti (black snub-nosed monkey). RNAcentral's name for it is "lncRNA (ENSRBIG00000046384.1)". The record is from RNAcentral. Lineage: Eukaryota; Metazoa; Chordata; Mammalia; Primates; Cercopithecidae.
CAUAGAACUAUGGAGGUAUUAUAGUAUCCAGAGGGGAAAAAUAAUUGUCUCUUAUUUCAACCCCUCUAAACAGGAUACCAUACUUGCAGAACUCCUUCAGAUACAUAAGGAACACAUUGUAGGAUAUCAUGAACAUGAUUCUCUUUUGGACCACAAAGAAGAAGAAGAGUUGACUGAAGAAGAAAGAAAAGCAGCUUGGGCUGAGUAUGAAGCAGAGAAGAAGGGACUGACCAUGCGUUUCAACAUACCAACUGGGACCAAUUUACCCCCUGUCAGUUUCAACUCUCAAACUCCUUAUAUUCCUUUCAAUUUGGGAGCCCUGUCAGCAAUGAGUAAUCAACAGCUGGAGGUGAGUUGUGAAGUACAAAAGUAGUUUAACAUGAAUUAAAGGCAAUUUCAAAUGCCUUGUUGUUGAGGGUUCAUUCUCCAAAAGAUUACCACUGAAUAGACCAAUAAAUUUUUAUUUUAUUUGUUGACUGUUUUGAAGCAACAUAAUGUUGUAAAAUAUGGUUUGUUCAGAGCACAAAGGAAUCAGUUGNAACUGCUAUAAAUUGGCAAAUGGAAGGAUUCCUAUACUUUAACACUAUGCUGUCUUUCUGCCUUAUAUAACUUAUUUCUUGCAUUCUUCUAGGACCUCAUUAAUCAAGGAAGAGAAAAAGUUGUAGAAGCAACAAACAGUGUGACAGCAGUGAGGAUUCAACCUCUUGAAGAUAUAAUUUCAGCUGUAGUAAGCUAAUUGGCAAUUGUCUUAUUCCAACCUCAAAUUUGUUCCCUCCACCCCCUACUGCCAUUUUCAAAAAUUUUUAAUUGUUUCCAUCUUAUAAAUUGAUUUGCAAUAGUAAAAUACUGGUAAAAUGGAUGGAUAAUAGUGCCAAACGGUAACCCAGCAAUUUUACAUAGAUGUUGGCACAAAAGAGAAAUGGAUAAAAUGUAAGAAUUGAGAAAUGAAACAUGGAAAUGUAUGCAUUGUUUACAUAAACAUUUUAAUUACCAGUUGCACAAAUUAAAUCUAAAUUAUUGUUUCAUUCCAGAGAUAGCCAGUCCAGGUACAGCAGUGAACAACUUAGUACCCUGUUUUGCAUCAUGCUUUUCUUUAGAAAAGAAUAAAAGAAAGGGGGGGGACCUUGGAAAAUCCCAAAUAUCUUAAAAUACCUUAAUUAUUUUUUCUUCAAUAAGGAGUAAAUAGAAAAUUUUUCUUUUAGUGGAAGGAGAACAUGAAUCUCUCAGGGCCCCAAGUACAGGCGUUAGCAUUAAGUAGACAAGCCAGCCAGGAGCUUGAUGUUAAACGAAGAGAAGCAAUCUACAAUGAUGUAUUGACAAAACAACAGAUGGUAAGAAUUCUGACUUCUGUUUCUAGGUUAUGUUUAAUUUUCUUGAAUUUAUAAUAAUAAGUUUGUAUG